This 484-nucleotide ribosomal RNA is filed under the name uncultured bacterium. RNAcentral's name for it is "partial 16S ribosomal RNA". It matches the Rfam family "Bacterial small subunit ribosomal RNA", at positions 30 to 507 of the family's 1533-position model. The record is from RNAcentral.
AUUGAACGCUGGCGGCAGGCCUAACACAUGCAAGUCGAGCGGAUGAAGGGAGCUUGCUCCUGGAUUCAGCGGCGGACGGGUGAGUAAUGCCUAGGAAUCUGCCUGGUAGUGGGGGAUAACGUCCGGAAACGGGCGCUAAUACCGCAUACGUCCUGAGGGAGAAAGUGGGGGAUCUUCGGACCUCACGCUAUCAGAUGAGCCUAGGUCGGAUUAGCUAGUUGGUGGGGUAAAGGCCUACCAAGGCGACGAUCCGUAACUGGUCUGAGAGGAUGAUAAGUCACACUGGAACUGAGACACGGUCCAGACUCCUAAGGGAGGCAGCAGUGGGGAAUAUUGGACAGUGGGCGAGAGCCUGAUCCAGCCAUGCCGCGUGUGUGAAGAAGGUCUUCGGAUUGUAAAGCACUUUAAGUUGGGAGGAAGGGCAGUAAGUUAAUACCUUGCUGUUUUGACGUUACCAACAGAAUAAGCACCGGCUAACUACGUG